UACGAGGGGUGCAAGCGUUGCUCGGAAUUAUUGGGCGUAAAGAGCGUGUAGGCGGUUUGGUAGGUCCGCUGUGAAAACUCGAGGCUCAACCUCGAGACGUCGGCGGAAACCAUCUGGCUAGAGUCCGGAAGAGGAGAGUGGAAUUCCUGGUGUAGCGGUGAAAUGCGCAGAUAUCAGGAAGAACACCCGUGGCGAAGGCGGCUCUCUGGGACGGUACUGACGCUGAGACGCGAAAGCGUGGGGAGCGAACAGG
RNAcentral lists this ribosomal RNA (253 nucleotides) under uncultured bacterium. RNAcentral describes it as "partial 16S ribosomal RNA". It matches the Rfam family "Bacterial small subunit ribosomal RNA", at positions 524 to 776 of the family's 1533-position model. The record is from RNAcentral.